AUCAACAAAACAUAGAAAUCACAUGUUCUUCAUAAUAAUAAUAGUGAUGAGUGAUGAUAAUAAUAAUAUUUCUGUAAUAAAAGCACAACAAAGUCAUUGUUUGCAUUUAUAUUGGGAUUUUAUUGCGCCCCCUUGUGUCCGCCGCGCCUCUGUAGUGCGCUCUAUAGCGCCCUUCAUCAGGUGGGGGGCGGAGGGAUCUCGGAGAGUGAUGAUGGAGGGAUACAGGUACCGUUUCACAUAUCACCGCUCACAAACAUAAUGGAGAAGAAACAGUCGAAGCCAUCUGGUGCCCAAUUUCGGAAAAAAAAAAGAAAAGAAGAGGAGGAGAAACGAGGAAAAGAUGCAGGAGCCCUACACAGAUAUUUUGGGAUGACAUCAGCUGCCACUGAGGGACACCUCCACUGCUCAUACCAGUAGGCCAGUGUUUGAACUUGAGGAGGGACAGUCUGCUGGCACCACAUCUCCCCAGGAAGAUACUGUAGAGAGACCUACCAGUAUAUGUGAACUUGAUGAGGGACAGCCAGCUGCCACAUCUCCCCAACAAGAUAUGUCAGAGCUCCGGACCCCACGUGACUCUCAGUUAGUGGACGCCAUUUUGGCAUGCACUAAAGGUAAACAAACACGGAUGUAACCAUGAACAUGAACGGGAUCCGCUUGGAUUUUACUUCGUCUGAGUUUACUUCACACUUUAAAACAGAAGAAAUCGUUUUAUAUAGUCAGAAAUUAAAUAGACUAAACAUCUCCGACCCUUACCGUGCCCCUGGGAUACUUUUUAAAAACGCCAGAAGCUGUCGGAGCGGGCUUCUUACCGGCACAACACCGGACCUGACCGGGGAACCCCUUGGGAUUCCCCCGGCCGGAGGAGCUGGGGAGAGGUCUGGGACUCUCGACUCUACUGCCCGCUCCGACGCCAGAAGCUGUCGGAGCGGGCUUCUUACCGGCACAACACCGGACCUGACCGGGGAACCCCUUGGGAUUUACCCGGAGGAGCUGGCUCCGGUGGCUGGGGAGAGGGAAGUCACGCUACUGCCCCCGCAACCCGACUCCGGAUACGCGGAUGAAAAUGGAUGGAUGGACGGACAAAUAACAGAUUUACACGUAAGUAGUCUCGGUGAGACAGAUAAUAGCGAUCCAAAGUGCUUUUUAUCUGUGAUCUGACAAUUGAUCAACCAUUGCUUAAAAAUUAAAUACAGCUUAGCCGGUUAAUUGCUGUGAUCAUAAAACACGUAAACGGCAGCACGCAGAACUCACAAGGCAACGUUUUACGUGAUGUUUACUUGCUGCUAUGAGUAAUAAGACAGAAAAAGCCACGCCAAAAUAAGUUUAGGAAGUCCACUAAGAAUCACAAUAAAAGCAUUUAAAAUAAAUACCACACACAGUUGAGGAAACGUUGGUUUAAGUACCUGAUAUGAAGUGGUCGCUGCAUAAGCGAAAACCUUUACUCUCGGGAUCCCACAGCUUCAUUUUAGCCCGGUCACUAGUGCGUUUUAUUACAAUGAUCCAACGUUUGCGGCGCUCCGGAUCUUGGGGAAUCCUGUAGAUGGAUCAUUCCUUAUGUCGUCCGCGUCUGUUCUGCAUCCUGGGGCACAACAGGAAUCUACCAUAUUUCCCGUUUGAUUGAGUUAUCUGACAAUAACAAAUAGUCCAGCUGCCGGCUUCUGCCUGCCAAUAUGGCGCCGUUUCGAUUUGAACUGUUGCAUGCCGGGAGAAGUGACGUCAACUCCCGGAGCUCUAUAGAGAAGCCUGAACGAUCAACCAAUGAGUCCCAUUGAAGGUUAUGAUGAGCCUCUUUCUUCAGACCCAGCCAAGUGGCCAUCACCAAUUACCGACAGCAUACGCACAGAGCUAGUUCGAAGAGGACAUACCAAGGUGCCAACUACUUUCAUAUUUCCCAGGAAUGAAGGCGAUGGCAGGUGUUGUCAUCAUCACUAAUUCAGUAGAACUUUGACAAGUGGUGAGAAGGUGGCCAGGAGCUAGAUGUUGUAUUCAGUUAGCAAACGUUGUUAUAUAUAAUACACUCCACGCAAUUUGAAACAAAG
This is a long non-coding RNA of Nothobranchius furzeri (turquoise killifish), 2039 nucleotides long. RefSeq lists it as uncharacterized. NCBI's taxonomy places the organism in Eukaryota, Metazoa, Chordata, Actinopteri, Cyprinodontiformes, Nothobranchiidae. The record is from RefSeq and is a predicted model, not a curated record.